RNAcentral lists this long non-coding RNA (1790 nucleotides) under Capsicum annuum. RNAcentral describes it as "long non-coding RNA (CANN_LNC017447)". The record is from RNAcentral. Lineage: Eukaryota; Viridiplantae; Streptophyta; Magnoliopsida; Solanales; Solanaceae.
ACUAGAUGUGGCUUUUUAGACUUCCUAGGACAUAAUUGAACCUUAAGCUCUGAUACCAAGUUUGUAACGCCCCAAUUUUCUGAAACCAAAAUGUCACAUGGUGCUCAUGAUCCCGAAGGACCAUAAGCUAACCCUUUUCAGAUAUCUGUAACUGAGCACUGCAUAAUAUACUAAAAUAAAUGCAGAAAACUAGCGGAAACUUGCCAUGAGGUUCAAAUAUCUAAAAAUUCUCAAUACUAAAAACUGAAUACUAAUACAUCUGUCUAAAGAGCCUCUAAACUUGUCUGAACUGUGGAGUUGAUGGGACAUGUCCCCAACUAACUCCGUCUACUAAAAAUAAACUGAGGCUAAUGCCAUAAUAAAAUAAGGAUCAUCUUCGAAUGAAGAGGACUCACUACUACAUCUACUGCUGCUGACUGAGUCUGGACUGCUAAGGGUGCUUUGAAUCUCAUGCUUCAGAACCUAUGGUAUAAGACAAGAGAAAAGUAUGUGGCAGUACUUUUAAUGUAUUGGUAUGUUAGAUAAGGUAAGGCUAAAUACAAAGUCUUAUGUAUGAACAUAGCUUAACUGAAUAACAUGAGAGUACUGAAUGGGGGACAUAUCAUAAAUGCACAAAUCGAAACUGGAAUCGCAGUAACACUUAAUACGAACUCUAAAUAUUGGUUUCUGAAUACUGACUUACUGAUGACUGGGUCUACUAGUACUGAUGUUUGAGUUUACUAAUACUGAGAGACAGAAUAAUUGAGUCUAUUGAGAUUGAUGUCUAAUCUUGCUGAUACUGAUACUGAUUUAUUAUAUCUGAGAUCAAGCCUAUAUAAUGGGUGACCUCUGAGUUUACUGGUAAUGAUCCCUGAUACUUGAUAAACUGAAUCAAAGAUCAAACCUAUAUAACGGCUGACGUCUAUUGAUAAUGAAUAUAAUUAUCUGAAUCUGAGAUCAAGCCUAUAUAAUAGGUGGUCUCUGAGAGGUAGUCAAGCCUAGUAUAACGGGUGACUCCUCAGCUGUAUUCUUUUACUGAGACUGUGGGAGGUAGUUAUCUAACCAAUAUGCCCCUUCUAGCUUCUUUGGGGUCUAACCUUUAACCCAAGUUGGAAGGGUGUCAAUAUCGUGCCACGGAUAAAGAUACUUUUCUCUGAACCUACGAUGCUAUGCCUAAUAUAACGGGUGACACCUGUUUGGAGCCAAGCCUAAUAUAACGGGUGACUCCGGGGAGUUAGUCAAGCCUAAUAUGAUGGGUGUCUCCUCAUCCUAUGCUGGCUACGCAGUUCUAGAGUACAGGAAUUGUUAUUAAUGAUCUACCUAAAAUAACGGGGAAGCCAUCAUCCCUGUUCUCACUCGGUGGUGAAUCCUACUCCUAACUGAAUAGACACUGGACUGAUUCCUAGACUAUUCUAGACUGAGCUGAAUCUGUUAUUGGUCAUCUUGCUUGCCUGAGCUGAUUGAAUUUACUUGGUUCCAUUAUUUGACGGAAUGCUAUUGAAUUUUUAUUAGCUUACUGAGUUUCACUGAAGUCUGAACUGAAUACUGGAUACAACUGAAUACUAUUGAAUUAGAAUUGAAUACUAAGUUAGAUUAGACUGAUACUAAGACUGAAUUGAACUAGUACUGAGAUUACUGAAAUUAUCUUGAGACUGACUUGGCUCUAGAAUAUAGCUAAAUUUUUGGGUAUAAAUACCCCCAGGACUCGAUAGCAUAAAUAAAUAAGACAGGACCACACUUGAGUAUCUUGACAAGACUUUCUUUCACAGCACAAUCAAUACGAUAUCUCAUCAAUCACUUGAAUGUCNNNN